Molecule: non-coding RNA, 927 nt
Filed under: Leptotyphlops pitmani
Lineage: Eukaryota; Metazoa; Chordata; Lepidosauria; Squamata; Leptotyphlopidae
Description: partial 12S ribosomal RNA
Rfam family: Bacterial small subunit ribosomal RNA (bases 109-925)
Source: RNAcentral
GAACAAAAGUCUUGGUCCUAAACCUAGCGCUAACCACCCCUAAAACUAUACAUGCACGCCUCAACAAAACAGUGAGUAACCCACCUAAUCACAAAGACAAAACGGAGUAAGAAUGAGACACCCGACACCGGGUCAAAAAUAAAGAAGCACCACACCUACACAGGAAUUCAGCAGUAACUAACAUUGGGCAAUAAGCGGAAGCUUGACCCAGCUAUAGGAAAAUAAAGCCGGUAAAACUCGUGCCAGCUACCGCGGUUAUACGAGAGGCUUAAGAUAGCGCCACCCGGCAGAAAAAUGGCCAGAGAACAUCAUAAAGCUUAAGAAGGAAGGAAAGUCAAGCUGUCCAACGCCAAGAGCCCACGAACCCGCCCACUUAACUAACUGACCCCUUAAACCAUCAAAGCUGGGGAACAAACUAGGAUUAGACACCCUACUAUGCCCAGCCAUAAAAGGUUCGCCACUGAACCCGCCAGAUGAGUACGAGCGAAAGCUUAAAACUCAAAGGACUUGACGGUAUUCCACAUCAACCUAGAGGAGCCUGUCCUAUAAUCGAUAACCCACGCUAAAACCUCGCCACCCCUUGCCAACCAGUCUAUAUACCGCCGUCGUCAGUUCACCCUGCAAAAGAACAAAAGUGGGCAUAAUAGUUUAUUACACUAAAACGACAGGUCAAAGCGUAGCUAACGGGAUGGGCUGAGAUGGGCUACAUUUUCUAAUACAGACUACACCAAAAGCCUAUGAAAAACGCCAGAAAGGUGGAUUUAGCAGUAAGACGGAACAGAAAGCCCGCCUGAACACAGCACUGGAAUGCGCACACACCGCCCGUCACCCCCAUCUACCACACAACAAAAAUUCAUAAUGCCAACACAGCACCAAGAUGGGGAAAGUCGUAACAAGGUGAGCGUACUGGAAGGUGCGCUCGUACAC